AGCGAACGCUGGCGGCAGGCUUAACACAUGCAAGUCGAGCGGGCAUAGCAAUAUGUCAGCGGCGGACGGGUGAGUAACGCGUGGGAACGUACCUUUUGGUUCGGAACAACACAGGGAAACUUGUGCUAAUACCGGAUAAGCCCUUACGGGGAAAGAUUUAUCGCCGAAAGAUCGGCCCGCGUCUGAUUAGCUAGUUGGUGAGGUAAUGGCUCACCAAGGCGACGAUCAGUAGCUGGUCUGAGAGGAUGAUCAGCCACAUUGGGACUGAGACACGGCCCAAACUCCUACGGGAGGCAGCAGUGGGGAAUAUUGGACAAUGGGCGCAAGCCUGAUCCAGCCAUGCCGCGUGAGUGAUGAAGGCCCUAGGGUUGUAAAGCUCCUUUGUGCGGGAAGAUAAUGACGGUACCGCAAGAAUAAGCCCCGGCUAACUUCGUGCCAGCCGCCGCGGUAA
Molecule: ribosomal RNA, 451 nt
Filed under: uncultured bacterium
Lineage: Bacteria
Description: partial 16S ribosomal RNA
Rfam family: Bacterial small subunit ribosomal RNA
Source: RNAcentral